GCACAGGAACGUGAACCUUAGGCAACACAACACACCCAUCAACAAACAUCACUAUCCAUUUCCGUUCAAGGAUGCAAUGUACGAGAGCUUUGUAGAACAAGAUGUGGAGGAGACAACCCACUAUGCCGUGGGUUCCCAUGAAGGUUGAUCAAGGUGUUCAUCGUCCGACUGGAAGACGUUAAAGCAAGCGCUUUAAGGGAGGCAACCCAUUUAUUCUGCUUGAUUGCCAAUUUUAUUACUUGUUUAAUUAUUUUUGGUUGUGACUUUCUAUUUUGAAACAUUAACAAAUAUGCAAAGGAU
This 300-nucleotide long non-coding RNA is filed under the name Malus domestica (apple). Its description in RNAcentral is "long non-coding RNA (MDOM_LNC017066)". The record is from RNAcentral. Lineage: Eukaryota; Viridiplantae; Streptophyta; Magnoliopsida; Rosales; Rosaceae.